Long non-coding RNA from Solanum tuberosum (potato), 1762 nucleotides. RefSeq lists it as uncharacterized. The transcript has 3 exons. The record is from RefSeq and is a predicted model, not a curated record. NCBI's taxonomy places the organism in Eukaryota, Viridiplantae, Streptophyta, Magnoliopsida, Solanales, Solanaceae.
UUUUCCAAGUCCCUUUAGUUAUAGGGUCAUUUGGGCUUUGAAACACAAGAAUAUUAGUUAUGAAUACAUAGAAGAAGAUCUUUCUAACAAAAGCCAACAUCUUUUGACAUAUAACCCUAUUUGUAAGAUGAUCCCAAUUCUUUUACAUAAUGGAAAACCAAUAGUUGAAUCCACAAUCAUUCUUGAAUACAUAGAAGAAACAUGGCCCCAAAAUCCUUUGUUCCCCAAGGAUCCUUAUAAAAGGCUAAGGCUAGAUUCUGGAUCAAGUUCGGAGAAGAUAAGCUCACAACCAAAGCAGUUCGAAAUCGAUGGUGCAUUGCCGUCGAUGAAGAAUUUGAAUUUUUUGUGAAAUGUACACAAGUGGUUCGAACCAGAGUAAGAGAGGCCUUCUAAAACGUAAAUUCUAGUGAACAGGUUUGCCUCUUUUACUUUAUUUUUCUGGAUAUAUGUUUAGCUUGGAUAGUAUCACAUCGUUUUUAAGGUAUGAAGACGAGAUUAGUUGAUUGUGUACUUUGUUUUUUAGCUAAAUUGGUUUGUGUGCUGCCAAAGGUAGGAUUCUUCGAACUAAAUUUAAUUACAAACAUUACAGUUGAUGAAAUCAGAUUACCAAAUCAUUUCAUACGAUAAUGUAGUUUCUAAAUUAGAAGUUAGCAUCUCGUCUGACCAACUUCAAUUGCCAACACAAAUAUGUGGUUUUUAGGAAUGUUAGCUAAGUCAAUUUUAUAGCAAAGUAAUCAGAGCUUAGCUUGUAUUACCUGUAGAAGUUUCAUCAAGUAAGUCAUAGUUUUGGAUGGUCUGAUGAUGAUAUACUCCACACUUGCCCUCUUGGAAGUUAGAAUUCAGAAAGCACUGAAUCUUUUCAUGAAGGAGCUUCGUGUUAAAUCUGCUUACUUGGUUUCUUACCCUACACUUUUGAUGCAUAGUUUGGAAAAAAGAGUGUUAUCUCGGAUGGAAGUCUUGAAAACUUUUGGACGAAAAGAAGCUUAAGAGGAGAGAGUUGAUGCUCUAUAUUGUUGUCAGUUCAUAGAGUAUAUAAUUUGUGCUGCCCUACAACGAUAAGAUACCUGAUAUGUAUGAACCACUCAAGAAAAUUGUGCUCCUUUUUUGGCCUUUUUCUUUUCAUAGUGAAUUCUGAAAAACAGGAUCGGUGUUGCAAAAAAUCAUUUAUGGAGUUGGGGCAUAGUUUAUUGAAAGACUGAAUUGUUGUGAGCUCUAUGCAAAAUCAAGGUUUCCAUUUGAUGCUGUUCGGAUUCAAGUGAUCUUGUUGAUAACUGAUUCCUUUGGCGAUUACCAGCAGCUUUGUCCCCGAAGACGACCAAAUUUUUUUCUGUUGUGCAAUUUGUCCCAUAACUUGCAGUGCAUAAUCAUAGUGAACUUACCUCACUAGUGUGUUUCAUUUUCUUUAUGAAACCCCCUCCCAAAAGAAAGGCUGCCGCACAUAUAUAGGAUUGUUUUUCUUACAAGUCUUUGGCUACAGAUUAAUUUAUUAGUUUGCUAUAAUAUGCAUUGUUUUUACUAUUUCCUGCUGCAAUGGAAGAAAGGCUUACUGUCGAUGUAACUAAUUACAGAGUGAACGUGCAAAGUUCAGAUGGAGGAUAAAUUUCUUCCUCGAAAAAGCAUUUAAUGUGGCGUCUAUUCCCCUAAGAGCCCAAGAAGAUCACCAUAUGGAUCUUACCAACGAAGAUCAUGCGAGUCCUCGUUGAAUGCUAUUUCUUGAAUAUGUUGUGGUUGAUUUUUUUUUCAAAUAAACAAGCUUUAAGCG